GCCCAGUUGGUUAAGCGUCCAACUCUUGAUUUUGGUUCAGGUUGUGAUCUCAGUUUGUGAGUUUGAGCCCCACAUUGGGCU
This 81-nucleotide transfer RNA is filed under the name Felis catus (domestic cat). Lineage: Eukaryota; Metazoa; Chordata; Mammalia; Carnivora; Felidae. The record is from Rfam by way of RNAcentral.